This is a non-coding RNA of Kogia breviceps (pygmy sperm whale), 73 nucleotides long. The record is from the annotation of a RefSeq genome assembly. NCBI's taxonomy places the organism in Eukaryota, Metazoa, Chordata, Mammalia, Artiodactyla, Physeteridae.
UCCCUGGCGGUCCAGUGGUUAGGACUCAGUGCUCUUGCUGCUGGGGGCCCAGGUUCAAUCCCUGGUCUGGGAA